This 274-nucleotide ribosomal RNA is filed under the name uncultured bacterium. RNAcentral describes it as "partial 16S ribosomal RNA". It matches the Rfam family "Bacterial small subunit ribosomal RNA", at positions 523 to 796 of the family's 1533-position model. The record is from RNAcentral.
CUACGGAGGGUGCAAGCGUUAUCCGGAAUCAUUGGGUUUAAAGGGUCCGUAGGCGGGCUAAUAAGUCAGGGGUGAAAUCCCACAGCUUAACUGUGGAACUGCCCUUGAUACUGUUGGUCUUGAGUUACAGUGAAGUGGUUAGAAUGUGUAGUGUAGCGGUGAAAUGCAUAGAGAUUACACAGAAUACCGAUUGCGAAGGCAGAUCACUAACUGUAUACUGACGCUGAUGGACGAAAGCGUGGGGAGCGAACAGGAUUAGAAACCCCAGUAGUCC